GCGGCUUAAUUUGACUCAACGCGGGGUAAUUUACCAGGUAUAACAUGGUAUAAUAUUUUAUCAUGAUAGUGGUGCAUGGCCGUUUCCAAUGGAUGCUGUGAAGUAAUGAUUAAUUUCAACAAGAUGUGAGACCCUCGUUUAGACAGAUGUAGUGAUACAUAUGAAGGAGAGGAUUAAAACAGGUCCGUUAUGCCCUAAGAUAAUCUGGGUUGCACGCGCAAUACAAUAAUAUUUGAUAUUAUAAGGGAUAAUAUAAUGUGUAAGAUAUAUUUGAACAUGGAAUUGCUAGUAAAUUUUAUUUAAUAAGUAGAAUUGAAUGAGUCCCUGUUCUUUGUACACACCGCCCGUCGCUAUCUAAGAUGGUAUUAUCUAUGAACAAAUUUAUAAAGUGAAUAGAUAGUACUAGAUCUGAUAUAAGUCGUAACAUGGUUGCUGUUGGAGAACCAUUAGCAGGAUCAUAA
This 461-nucleotide ribosomal RNA is filed under the name Nosema bombycis. RNAcentral describes it as "SSU rRNA". It matches the Rfam family "Microsporidia small subunit ribosomal RNA", at positions 819 to 1311 of the family's 1311-position model. Lineage: Eukaryota; Fungi; Microsporidia; Nosematidae. The record is from RNAcentral.